Molecule: long non-coding RNA, 2538 nt
Organism: Bactrocera neohumeralis
Lineage: Eukaryota; Metazoa; Arthropoda; Insecta; Diptera; Tephritidae
Exons: 2
Source: RefSeq, a predicted model, not a curated record
UGAUAUACACUCGGAAGUGAAUCACAGAACCUGUCUGAUAAAUACAUUUUAGUUUUAUUUACUUAAAGUUAAAGCUGAAGUGUAAGCAUCAGCUUGAUUGAAUCCAUAACAAAGAGGUAAUUACAAUUUUAGCUGUGACAGCAAAUUUCAGCAGAAGGUAAGUGUUCUGAUUUCUUUACGAUUGUUAUUGUUAUGCCUUCUUGUGAGAGCGAGCGAUAUUGUUUUGAUAAUAAUGGAUUCUUGGAUUCAGAACGGAGAAAGCAUAUCGCAUUCCCUAAAUUAUCAAAAACGUUAAAAAUAUUUCUAAUUUAUGAGACAGUGUAAUUGCAAAGUGCAAAGAUUCAAUUUUAUUUACAGUUAUGGUAAGGUUUCUAUGCGGAGGCUAUCGUUAACUCACAUGCAUGAGCAUUUGUAAGAAGACAGCGACAUAACAAUGGCUGGCAUGUACACAAAACAACAGAGCUGUCCAUUUUGCAUGUACGCAAUUUCGUUAUACCUUUCACUUCAAUGAAAUUUUAAUAUUUUGUUCAAGUGAAAUUUUUUAUGCAAAAAAUAACUAAAUAUGUAAAUUUAUUUGUUUUAAAUUAUCAAUUGUUAUAGCAAAUGAUAUAACUGAGCUAUUUUAUUCUUUUAUUUGUAAAAUAACGUCGGGUUUGUUAGAUCUUUGAAUAAUUAUACAUACAUAUUAGUGUCAUCACUCCUUUCUACUGUCAACACUACUGUUUAAAUAACUGUGUUCUUAUGGAAGGCAUACACGCACCAAUUAUUGUACCAAUUUCAUCGAAUUGUACAACUGAUUGUUAUGUAUAUGAGGCAGUUGUAUGAGUUGUACAAACUGAUUGGAUGAAAAUCAAAAUUUUUUGAUAUUUUGUCAAGUUGGUUGUGCUAGUUGGAUCGUGUUUGGGUUGGUAGUGCGAUUUCACACGAUUUCGCCAUUUUAUUUCGGCUGUUGAAGAGAGCGCGUCAUAUAUAAUAAGUAAAUCAACAACUUCCGAACACAUGUUUAAGCAACGAAGUGAAUAUUCAAAAUGAAGUUGGCCUCAAAAUUGUAUUAAAAGUUGUGUCGCAUGUAGCGACAAGGGCAAUUUCUAGCCCAACUCAAUCAACCAACUAAUUGUUGUGUGUAUGCCUUCCAUUAAGAGCGUGUGUAUUUUAAUAUUUGACCGAUGUCGCAUGCAGUCUUUUUUUUUUUUAUAGUAGGAGGAAGCAUCGAAAGCCGGAGUGCGGAACUUUAAUCCGCUAAACCUAACCUACUCCCAACUCAAGACACUCCCACGGAACCACCAGGUAAGGUAUUACUUCAUGGGAGUGACAAGACAUUUUAAGUCUCCUCUAUAACACGGACGGACUAACGCCUACUCUGCUGUAACUGUCUUAAUGUAGUCAUGAUGGAAGUUGCCGCUUCGCGAACAGCUAUCCAUUUGUCAGAGGACUGACACAUAAAUGCAGUCAAAUUUUCCACCGUUAGGCUACCACCUAGUGAGGUUUCUAACUUUUUUCUUAUGUUUCGAAACCGAAGACAAUGGAAAAACACGUGUUCAGAGUCUUCUAUGGACUCCGCACACAUCGAACAAUAUGGACUGACGUCAUUUUGAAAUUUGUAUAGAUAGCCUCUGAAGCACCCAUGCCCGCUUAAUAUUUGGGUCAGGUGGAAAUCCAGGUCCCCAUGUCGUCUACUUAUCCACGUAUGGAUGUCAGGUAUAAGUCUGUGGGUCCACCGUCCUUUAGUUGAGGUUUGCCACCGUUGCUGCCAUAUAGUUAUGCUCUUCUUUCUCUCUUCUCUCUUUUGGGUUUCUGUAAUUGGCGCUGAUAGCUCAUAUAAUCUUGUGAGCUCGUCACCCUGGAUAAUCGCAUGCAGUCUGUCGCGCUCUAUGUGUUCAGCACUUCAGUGUGAAAUACAACGCCCUAUACCAAAGAUGGAUAAGCAAGAACAAAUGCGUUAUAACUUAGUUUUCGACAAUAAUGAUAACCAAAAAAUGGGCAUUCGAAUGGUUGAUUGGUGAUACGCGUUUAUAGCAGACAUUGGGAACCUUGGCGAAAAGGUCGCCCAGAGUGUGGGUUAACCUCCUACACAUAUAAGCAUGGCUGCGUAAUCCCUAAAUUAACUAUUUAUUUAUUUCCUUAGUGUUUUUGUGUGCUUUUGUGUGACACUCGACACUUUCCAAUUUUCUGUUGUGUCGUCUAAUAAUGUAACAUUGUGUUUAUAUUAGGUAGUCAAAAAAGUCUUUUCGUAUUUCUAAUCAAACUUCAACAUAUUUUUUUUUAUAUUUAUACUAAUAAAUAAGUAACCAAAUAUGUAUGUACCGUUUUGGUCGACUACUUUUCCGCUAGAGACAUUAUUCCAUCAGUGCAAAACUUUUAUCAGUGUAAAUCGAAAUUUCCAGAACGGAAGCGAUCGAACCAAUGUUGUGCUACUCGAACUGAUACAGCAUCGUCUCCAUAAACUUCAGAAAAUUUCAAUGGUAGCUUGUGUGGCAUUCUUCCCUUUUUUAUACAAAAAUUUCAAAAUAAAGAGAAUUUUUUCAUUAUUUUCACUAA